Larimichthys crocea (large yellow croaker) is the source of this 1424-nucleotide long non-coding RNA. RefSeq lists it as uncharacterized. The transcript is spliced from 5 exons. NCBI's taxonomy places the organism in Eukaryota, Metazoa, Chordata, Actinopteri, Sciaenidae. The record is from RefSeq and is a predicted model, not a curated record.
CGGUGUGUGUGUGUGUGUGUCCUCCUCCUCCCCUUCCUCUUAAUUAAAACAAGUUGCUUAAAAACUAAAAUAUUAAACGCGAUAACGACUUUUAAACUAUCUCCUCAUGUUUUAUUUUUUUAAAAACAAAGUCGUUAAAUUGUGGUAACGGUUUAGCAGUUAGCAACGGUUGCUAACGUCGCCGUUACUGAGACAACGGGGCGGAUGGAGUAUGCAGAUUUAUAUUUUGGUGGGUACGCCCCAGAUGUGAGUGUUACUUUAAACGCCACACAAAGCAUGUGGUUUUAAUUAUGGCCAUUAGUUAGACUCGUUAAAAAAAUAAUUAAAUAUGAUAAGUAGAAAUCAUAAAACGUUAAAUGUGGCGACGGUAGUAUAGUAAGUAGACCGUGUUCCGCCGCACUGCCUCGGCAGCAGCUCGGCAGCUGUGCCGGGGCUGGUCCCGUCUCAACAGCCGCUGACACAAGAAGGAGGUUUGCUACACAUUUUGUUUGAAAUAUCACACAACCGACCACAUGACGCGUCAAGGGGUUUGGAUCUUAUCCCAGUUUGCAUCGGCAGAGGGCGAGGAAACACCAUGGAUCAUUUCCAAGACUGACACUGGGAUUAUUAAGGAAAAAGCCUGUAGGGUCUCACCGGUCGACGAACAUGGUAGCUCUCAUAGAAGGCCAUCCAUGUGAGAGCAAUGCCCCCGGGGAAGUAGUUGAAGCGGCGUGACACCUCGCAUGCCUUGUGGAGGACCUGAAGGGCAGACCUGCAGAGGAACAGAGCAAAAGCUUUACCAUCCAAGAGAUGUAUAGUGAAAGGAGCGGGGCCACAGGCACAAUCAGGCAUUGUGGCGAAUCGCUGCAGGGUAAACACGAUGGAGUGACUCACCACAUGGCCUGCACAGAUACAGGCUUGAAGACAUGUGACCGCCCUGCUGUGUUCACACUGAAGCCUCUGGUGAAGAAGAGGAGGAGAAGGAAGGAAGGAAGGAUCAGUUUGAGUCUGGGUGGAGAUGAUGGGGAGUGAUCGUGGGGAUGUAAACACAGACUGGACACGGCUCGUUCAUGGGACUAUUCAGGACACCGACCAGUGGAACAUUCCUCCAGCAUACAAAGACAGAGACAAUGUUAACAGGUCAGCAAGAACGGCUCUCACACACACAGAGAAAAAUGCAUGUAGUUCACUUUACUGCCACUGGUGGGCAGUAAAACCUAAAAAGACAGAGAACAACCAAAACAUACAGCCUGGAGGUGUGUGUGUGUUUUAAUAAUUAUUCCAUCUUUUAUUAAAGGACAAACUGAAACUUACCCAUCUCCGUCUAAAUGUAUGUUGGUAUCACUCCACAGUGGUAGCACCAUCCCAAUAGAGCAUUCUUUACUGUAGAUCACAAAGAUUUAAGAAUAACAAUUUAACAAAUAAUCUGAUUGAACUGCACUAAA